This 253-nucleotide ribosomal RNA is filed under the name uncultured bacterium. RNAcentral's name for it is "partial 16S ribosomal RNA". It matches the Rfam family "Bacterial small subunit ribosomal RNA", at positions 524 to 776 of the family's 1533-position model. The record is from RNAcentral.
UACGUAGGGUGCGAGCGUUAAUCGGAAUUACUGGACGUAAAGUGUGCGCAGGCGGCCGAGCAAGUCGAGUGUGAAAGCCCCGAGCUUAACUUGGGAAUUGCGCUCGAAACUACUUGGCUGGAGUGUGGCAGAGGAAGGUGGAAUUCCAGGUGUAGCGGUGAAAUGCGUAGAGAUCUGGAGGAACACCGAUGGCGAAGGCAGCCUUCUGGGCCAACACUGACGCUCAUGCACGAAAGCGUGGGGAGCAAACAGG